This 22-nucleotide microRNA is filed under the name Aedes aegypti (yellow fever mosquito). RNAcentral's name for it is "aae-miR-2946". Lineage: Eukaryota; Metazoa; Arthropoda; Insecta; Diptera; Culicidae. The record is from miRBase by way of RNAcentral.
UAGUACGGAAAAGAUAUGGGGA